ACGCUCGACACCUACGGGAGGCAGCAGUGAGGGAUAUUCGGCAAUGGGGGAAACCCUGACCGAGCAACGCCGCGUGAGGGAAGACGGUUUUCGGAUUGUAAACCUCUGUCCUCUGUGAAGAUAGUGACGGUAGCAGAGGAGGAAGCUCCGGCUAACUACGUGCCAAGCAGCCGCGGUAAUCUGAGCGGGCUGGCAAGGC
This 199-nucleotide ribosomal RNA is filed under the name uncultured bacterium. Its description in RNAcentral is "partial 16S ribosomal RNA". It matches the Rfam family "Bacterial small subunit ribosomal RNA", at positions 328 to 539 of the family's 1533-position model. The record is from RNAcentral.